UGAGGAAUAUUGGUCAAUGGGGGCAACCCUGAACCAGCGACGCCGCGUGAGUGAUGAAGGCCUUCGGGUCGUAAAACUCUUUUCUAGGUGACGAGCAAGGACGGUAGCCUGGGAAUAAGCCUCGGCUAACUACGUGCCAGCAGCCGCGGUAAAACGUAGGAGGCAAGCGUUAUCCGGAGUUACUGGGCGUAAAGCGCGCGCAGGCGGUGGGGUAAGUGGCUUGUGAAAGCCUCCGGCUAAACCGGGGGAGGUCAGGUCAGACUGCCCGACUGGAGUGAGGUAGAGGAGCGUGGAAUUCGGGGUGGAGCGGUGAAAUGUGUAGAGAUCCCGAGGAACACCAGUGGUGCAAACGGCGCUCUGGGCCUUUACUGACGCUGAGGCGCGAAAGCGUGGGGAGCGAACGGG
This 405-nucleotide ribosomal RNA is filed under the name uncultured bacterium. RNAcentral describes it as "bacterial SSU rRNA". It matches the Rfam family "Bacterial small subunit ribosomal RNA", at positions 355 to 776 of the family's 1533-position model. The record is from RNAcentral.